CGGGACGGGUGAGUAACGCGUGGGCAACCUGCCCCAUACAGGGGGAUAACAGCCGGAAACGGCUGCUAAAACCGCAUAAGCGCACAGCGGCGCAUGACGCAGUGUGAAAAACUGAGGUGGUAUAAGAUGGGCCCGCGUCUGAUUAGCUGGUUGGGAGGGUAACGGCCUACCAAGGCGACGAUCAGUAGCCGGCCUGAGAGGGCGGACGGCCACAUUGGGACUGAGACACGGCCCAGACUCCUACGGAAGGCAGCAG
Molecule: ribosomal RNA, 256 nt
Filed under: uncultured bacterium
Lineage: Bacteria
Description: partial 16S ribosomal RNA
Rfam family: Bacterial small subunit ribosomal RNA
Source: RNAcentral